RNAcentral lists this unclassified non-coding RNA (150 nucleotides) under fungal sp. RNAcentral's name for it is "partial internal transcribed spacer region". The stretch from base 1 to 46 matches the Rfam family "Eukaryotic small subunit ribosomal RNA", at positions 1786 to 1831 of the family's 1831-position model. Lineage: Eukaryota; Fungi. The record is from RNAcentral.
AAGUCGUAACAAGGUUUCCGUAGGUGAACCUGCGGAAGGAUCAUUAAAAAGAGCGAAAAACACUACACCGUGAACCUAAAGAACUGGAAACUUGUGAAGUAAAAUAGCUAAAUCAAUUGACAACUUUUAGCAACGGAUCUCUAGGUUCUC